This is a non-coding RNA of Acanthosepion pharaonis, 93 nucleotides long. The record is from the annotation of a GenBank genome assembly. Lineage: Eukaryota; Metazoa; Mollusca; Cephalopoda; Sepiida; Sepiidae.
UUGAAACACCAUUUCCCAUACGAUUACCGAAGUUAAGAAACAUUGAGUCUGGUUAGUACCUAGAUGGGUGACUACUUGGGAAUACCAGAUGCU